Molecule: ribosomal RNA, 426 nt
Filed under: uncultured bacterium
Lineage: Bacteria
Description: bacterial SSU rRNA
Rfam family: Bacterial small subunit ribosomal RNA
Source: RNAcentral
AGCCAGCAGCCGCGGUAAUACAGAGGUCCCGAGCGUUGUUCGGAUUCACUGGGCGUAAAGGGUGCGUAGGUGGUGAGGAAAGUCGGAUGUGAAAUCUCCGGGCUUAACCCGGAAAUGGCAUUGGAAACUACCUUGCUAGAGGUUUUGAGGGGGGACUGGAAUUCUCGGUGUAGCAGUGAAAUGCGUAGAUAUCGAGAGGAACACCAGUGGCGAAGGCGAGUCCCUGGAAAACACCUGACACUGAGGCACGAAAGCUAGGGGAGCAAACAGGAUUAGAUACCCUGGUAGUCCUAGCCCUAAACGGUGCUUGCUUGCUGUAAGAGGAAUCGACCCCUCUUGUGGCGGAGCUAACGCGUUAAGCAAGCCGCCUGGGAAGUACGGUCGCAAGAUUAAAACUCAAAGGAAUUGACGGGGGCCCGCACAAGU